CCCUUAGAUGUUCUGGGCAGCACGCGCGCUACAUUGGUCUUCGCAAACGGAUGCAUUCUCGAAGGAGAAUGCCAAUCUUGGAAUCUAUGCCUUGGUCGGGACAGUUGCUUGCAAUUUUUCGACUCGAACCAGGAAUUCCUUGUAAUCGUGAUUCAUCACAUCACGAUGAAUACGUCCCUGCCCUUUGUACACACCGCCCGUCGCUCCUACCGAUCGAAGAGUUAGGUGAAUUGUUUUGAUCGAUAAGAUUUGACUAUGGUCAACUCUCGUUGUGAAAUUCUGUGAAUCUGACUGUUUAGAGGAAGGAAAAGUCGUAACA
Molecule: ribosomal RNA, 319 nt
Filed under: uncultured eukaryote
Lineage: Eukaryota
Description: partial 18S ribosomal RNA
Rfam family: Eukaryotic small subunit ribosomal RNA
Source: RNAcentral